CGCGUGCACUGGUCCGGCCGGGCCUUUCCCUCUGCGGAACCCCAUGCCCUUCACUGGGUGUGGCGGGGAAACAGGACUUUUACUUUGAAAAAAUUAGAGUGCUCAAGGCAGGCCUAUGCUCGAAUACAUUAGCAUGGAAUAAUAGAAUAGGACGUGUGGUUCUAUUUUGUUGGUUUCUAGGACCGCCGUAAUGAUUAAUAGGGACAGUCGGGGGCAUCAGUAUUCAAUUGUCAGAGGUGAAAUUCUUGGAUUUAUUGAAGACUAACUACUGCGAAAGUAUUUGCCAAGGAUGUUUUCAUUAAUCAGGAACGAAAGUUAGGGGAUCGAAGACGAUCAGAUACCGUCGUAGUCUUAACCAUAAACUAUGCCGACUAGGGAUCGGACGAUGUUACAUUUUUGACGCGUUCGGCACCUUACGAGAAAUCAAAGUGCUUGGGCUCCAGGGGGAGUAUGGUCGCAAGGCUGAAACUUAAAGAAAUUGACGGAAGGGCACCACCAGGGGUGGAGCCUGCGGCUUAAUUUGACUCAACACGGGGAAACUCACCAGGUCCAGACACAAUGAGGAUUGACAGAUUGAGAGCUCUUUCUUGAUUUUGUGGGUGGUGGUGCAUGGCCGUUGUUAGUUGGUGGAGUGAUUUGUCUGCUUAAUUGCGAUAACGAACGAGACCUUAACCUGCUAAAUAGCCCGUAUUGCUUUGGCAGUACGCUGGCUUCUUAGAGGGACUAUCGG
Molecule: ribosomal RNA, 730 nt
Filed under: uncultured eukaryote
Lineage: Eukaryota
Description: SSU rRNA
Rfam family: Eukaryotic small subunit ribosomal RNA
Source: RNAcentral